AGGAAAGGUGUUGGGACUUCUUCCCAGCUGGAGACUGCUUCCGUAAGCAAUAUGAAGAUCAGCUCGGGUAAACCUGGGCUCACAACAAGCUACGAUUCUGGACAGUCACCUUCUAAUGCAACAGAAUCCUUUCUUUACACUUAACAGCAACAAGUAUAUUUGGUAAUUGAUUUGGCUUUUGUGCCCAAUGGACACGCAAAGGAUGGCAAAGUGCCAAGGACUCCACCUGAUUGCUAACACAGCUCUUGGUUCUAAAAACGGCUAGUUCGCUGGGAUGGUUCAGAGAAAUGUGAAGUCUUGAACACCUGAACGUCAUGCAAGAGGACCCUACCAGGGAUUGAUGGGCAGAACUACACAAAUUCAUGUUCAACUCAUGUUAACUGAGAUCUAAUUUUUCCAUGGUACUUGCUAGUGACUGUAUCCAGAAUCAGCUUGAAAAGCUUUAAGCAGCUAAAGAAAUAGAAAACAAACACUUUGUCGAAACUGAAAUAUCGAUUAAGUGCCUUAAAAUCUCUUUAGAUAUAGCUAUGCAAGUUUUUUAUGUUUGUGUUUCAGAAAGACAUCUCCAUUAAACAGCUCUGCUGCUCUUCUGUCUUACUUUAUGAAACUGCACUUGGAGGUUACUCACCUAAUUUCUUCAGUAACAGCUUGUCAACUGCUGUUAUUUGAAGAAAGGCACUGUACUGAACUUUCAGAAAAAUCUCAAUCUUAUACCAAACUCGAGUGAUGCUUUAUGGUCCAAUGUAAGUAGUGGAGCUGCCAUGUUUUAGGUCAAUCUCCAAUAAAAUGAAGUGCCCACUGCAAUAAAGUAACACAUGCCAGUU
This 824-nucleotide long non-coding RNA is filed under the name Rattus norvegicus (Norway rat). RNAcentral describes it as "long non-coding RNA NONRATT019566". The record is from RNAcentral. Lineage: Eukaryota; Metazoa; Chordata; Mammalia; Rodentia; Muridae.